CGUAGGGUGCGAGCGUUAAUCGGAAUUACUGGGCGUAAAGCGUGCGCAGGCUGUUCUGUAAGUCAGAUGUGAAAUCCCCGAGCUCAACUUGGGAACUGCGUUUGAAACUACAAGACUAGAAUAUGUCAGAGGGGGGUAGAAUUCCACGUGUAGCAGUGAAAUGCGUAGAGAUGUGGAGGAAUACCAAUGGCGAAGGCAGCCCCCUGGGAUAAUAUUGACGCUCAUGCACGAAAGCGUGGGGAGCAAACAGGAUUAGAUACCCUGGUAGUCCACGCCCUAAACGAUGUCUACUAGUUGUUGGUGGAGUAAAAUCCAUGAGUAACGCAGCUAACGCGUGAAGUAGACCGCCUGGGGAGUACGGUCGCAAGAUUA
Molecule: ribosomal RNA, 372 nt
Filed under: uncultured organism
Description: bacterial SSU rRNA
Rfam family: Bacterial small subunit ribosomal RNA
Source: RNAcentral